AGAGUUUGAUCCUGGCUCAGAACGAACGCUGGCGGCGCGUCUUAAGCAUGCAAGUCGAACGGUAAGGGAGAGCUUGCUCUCCCCUAGAGUGGCGGACUGGUGAGUAACGCGUGGGUGACCUGCCCUGAAGAUGGGGAUAGCUAGUAGAAAUAUUAGAUAAUACCGAAUGUGCUCAUUUACAUAAAGGUGAAUGAGGAAAGGAGCUACGGCUCCGCUUCAGGAUGGGCCCGCGUCCCAUUAGCUGGUUGGUGAGGUAAAGGCCCACCAAGGCAACGAUGGGUAUCCGACCUGAGAGGGUGAUCGGCCACAUUGGAACUGAGACACGGUCCAGACUCCUGCGGGAGGCAGCAGUGGGGAAUAUUGCACAAUGGGGGAAACCCCGAUGCAGCAACGCCGCGUGAAGGAAGAAGGCCUUUGGGUCGUAAACUUCUGUCCUUGGGGAAGAAAAAAAUGACGGUACCCUUGGAGGAAGCCCCGGCUAACUACGUGCCAGCAGCCGCGGU
This 503-nucleotide ribosomal RNA is filed under the name Treponema sp. oral clone 23-25. RNAcentral describes it as "bacterial SSU rRNA". It matches the Rfam family "Bacterial small subunit ribosomal RNA", at positions 8 to 521 of the family's 1533-position model. Lineage: Bacteria; Pseudomonadati; Spirochaetota; Spirochaetia; Treponematales; Treponemataceae. The record is from RNAcentral.